Non-coding RNA from Paramisgurnus dabryanus, 1566 nucleotides. NCBI's taxonomy places the organism in Eukaryota, Metazoa, Chordata, Actinopteri, Cypriniformes, Cobitidae. The record is from RefSeq and is a predicted model, not a curated record.
UGGUGGGUCUUUGAAUUUAAAUAAAAUAAACAUGUAUAUGCAACACAAAAUAUUUAUAUUCCUUGUGUAAACAUAAUUUAAUUGAUUAGGAUGAAAAUGUUUUGUUUGAAUGUAAAAUGAACACAUUAUUCUCACAUUGAUUAAAAUUGAUUGAAUUGAAUACUUAAAGCAAUAAAAUUGAGUUUGCACACAAAAUGGCACCCCCUGAGCAGAAGGUGGCAGUAACGCUCAAUAAAAAGGACGUCAAUCGCCAUAAAAGAAGAAUAAACAUCGUUUGUUUUGGGCGCCAAAAUGAAGACUCAGCAGCAGUCAGUCAGAAGAACUCUCUCAGACGGACACCACGUUAUUAAAGUCCAUCAUCCUUGCAUGCGCUACACACUCAAAAGCAUUGAUAAAUGCUGAAUUUAAAAGAAUCACUACUGUCUUAUGUUCCUGCGUGUCACCUGGACCUCCAAUCCAAAAACCUGACGAAACUCUUCUAUCAGAAAGGAGGACAGCUAGCAAACAGACUUCAAACAAUGAAUGAUCAAAUGACAGAAGGCAUGAAUGAAGUCAGCAUCAGUGUGGUCAUUUGAAGACACCACUGUUGGGAUUUGUGCUCUCAAACAACAUGCUUCUUGUGAUGAAGAAGAGGAUCUUUGUAUAGUCCUGGAAGGCAUGAAGGUGUUGCAACAUCGUGCCAUGUUGUUUGAGCUGAUGUAUGCCUUAAACCUGAGCUAUCCUGAUCUCUGCUUUAUUUUUGAAGAAAUCCAAAAGAUUUUAAUGGAACUGCAUUGAGCGUAACUUUUAACGAACAGUUUCUUUCAGUGAAAGGAUCAGAAAGACUGUGCUGCUCAUUUAUGUUCUUUUUAUUUAUCUGUUUUAAGCGUUUUUUCUUAUUAAAACAUUAACCAUUGGCUGCUCAAAGUUGAUUUUGGAAAUGGUUGUUGUAUUUUGUUUUUGUUGAAUCUUUGAUUAUCAGUUUAUACAAAUGCUGUAGCUCUGACUUUCUGAAGGAUUGAUAUUUUCCAGUUUGUAAAUCCAUUUAAAAAAUAAUAGUACUUACUGUUUUGCAUGUCUCUUUGGAAUGCAGUGUUUGUGCUUUAGCACUUCUAAAUCUACUGUGAUAGUAACUAUUUUAAACAUUUGGGUCAGUUUUACAGAUGGGGCUUUUUCUAGUCCCAGACUUUUGCAAUGCCUUAAUUUGAAAACAUAUUGCACUGACAUAUCUUGACAUAUAUCAGUGCCAUUGUUUUGUCUCAAGAUGUACUCCAGUGUUGUUUUUGUAAGGUAGGUUUGUUUGUAAACUUUUUUUGUAAAAAAUAUCCUAAUAUAACUAGGGCCUAGUCAUGGAUUAAUCUACAACCUGUUUGGGAAAUUGCCCCUUUGUAUGUACUGCAUGUGCUGAUUGUUGUAAUAGUUAUUGACUGUUGUUAAAUUAAUGUGUAGUGAUUUAAAUGAAUUGAUGAUCUGAAAGCAGUGGUUUGCCUCAAUAUCACUAAACUUUUGUUUAAAACUCUUUGCUUUUUAUGCCAAUGCAAAUGUAUUUUGUAUUUAAAAAAGAAAUAAAUAACAUUUGGAUAAUUA